CCUACGGGUGGCAGCAGUGAGGAAUAUUGGUCAAUGGCCGGGAGGCUGAACCAGCCAAGUCGCGUGAGGGAAGACGGCCCUACGGGUUGUAAACCUCUUUUGUCAGGGAGUAAGGUGCAGGUUGGGACCUGCUGUGUGAGUACCUGAAGAAAAAGCAUCGGCUAACUCCGUGCCAGCAGCCGCGGUAAUACGGAGGAUGCGAGCGUUAUCCGGCUUUAUUGGGUUUAAGGGGUGCGCAGGCGGAGGCACAAGUCAGCGGGAAAAUGGCGGGGCUCAACCGCACUACGCCGUUGAAACUGGGUCCCUUGAGUGCAGGAGAGGUAGGCGGAAUGCGUGGUGUAGCGGUGAAAUGCAUAGAUAUCACGCAGAACUCCGAUCGCGAAGGCAGCCUACCGGCGCGCAACUGACGCUCAUGCACGAAAGCGUGGGUAUCGAACAGGAUUAGAUACCCGGGUAGUC
Molecule: ribosomal RNA, 459 nt
Filed under: uncultured bacterium
Lineage: Bacteria
Description: partial 16S ribosomal RNA
Rfam family: Bacterial small subunit ribosomal RNA
Source: RNAcentral